RNAcentral lists this ribosomal RNA (583 nucleotides) under Volvariella sp. RNAcentral's name for it is "partial large subunit ribosomal RNA". It matches the Rfam family "Eukaryotic large subunit ribosomal RNA", at positions 86 to 649 of the family's 3401-position model. Lineage: Eukaryota; Fungi; Basidiomycota; Agaricomycetes; Agaricales; Pluteaceae. The record is from RNAcentral.
ACUGCGAGUGAAGCGGGAAGAGCUCAAAUUUAAAAUCUGGCGGUCUCCGGCCGUCCGAGUUGUAAUCUAGAGAAGCGCUACCCGCGCCGGACCGUGCAUAAGUCUCCUGGAACGGAGCGUCACAGAGGGUGAGAAUCCCGUCUUUGGCACGGACCCCCGGGGCUUUGUGGUGCGCUCUCGAAGAGUCGAGUUGUUUGGGAAUGCAGCUCAAAAUGGGUGGUAAAUUCCAUCUAAAGCUAAAUAUUGGCGAGAGACCGAUAGCGAACAAGUACCGUGAGGGAAAGAUGAAAAGCACUUUGGAAAGAGAGUUAAACAGUACGUGAAAUUGUUGAAAGGGAAACGCUUGAAGUCAGUCGCGUCGGCCGGGGAUCAACCUUGCACUCUUGCGGGGCGUACUUCCCGGUCGACGGGUCAGCAUCGGUUUCGACCGCCGGAGAAGGGUCGGGGGAAUGUGGCACCUCCGGGUGUGUUAUAGCCCCUGGUCGCAUGCGGCGGUCGGGACCGAGGGACUCAGCGCGCCGAAAGGCCGGGUCCUCGGACCACGUUCGCGCUUAGGAUGCUGGCGUAAUGGCUUUAAUCGACC